RNAcentral lists this ribosomal RNA (2421 nucleotides) under Triticum aestivum (bread wheat). RNAcentral describes it as "partial small subunit ribosomal RNA". The record is from RNAcentral. Lineage: Eukaryota; Viridiplantae; Streptophyta; Magnoliopsida; Poales; Poaceae.
UGCUCGAGCUGCUUGGCGCGCGAGAGGGACGCAUUGCUGGCCUUCAAGCAAGCCGCCAACGACACCUACGACGUCCUCGCCUCGUGGCAAAGACGGCACAAAGAUUGUUGCCGGUGGUGGGGCGUCACCUGCAGCAAGGAAACCGGCCAUGUGAUCGAGCCUGACUUUGGUUACACCCUUUUGGACGGCAAGAUAAGCCCUUCCCUGCUUUCUCUCGAGCAUCUGGAGUACCUAAAUCUCAACUCCACCAACCUACUUGGACCAGACGGUACUUCUUUGUUCCCAGAAUUCUUGUGUUCUCUAAGCAACUUGAGGCAUCUCGAUCUCUCAUGGACACUGUUCUCUGGUAGAUUGCCUGCUCAGCUUGCCAACCUUUCAAAUUUGGAGUACCUCGAUCUCUCAUAUACACAGUUCUCUGGUAUACUGCCACCUCAGCUCGGAAACCUUUCAAACUUGCGACACCUUGACCUCGGUUACAUGCAAGAUAUACACAUAUCAGAUAUCUCAUGGUUAACUCAUCUCCAUUUCCUGGAAUAUGUUGACAUGAGUUAUAUGAAUCUGAGCAGCGCGGAUAUGUUUCUCGUGGCCAACACAAUCCCAUCUCUGAAAGCCCUUAUUCUUGUCAACUGCUCACUUCCAAAUGCAAACCAGUCGCUUACGCAUGUAAACCUCACAAAACUAGAGCAGCUUGAUCUCUCCAGUAAUUAUUUGGGCCACCGAAUUGAAACAUGUUGGUUCUGGAACCUAACAAGCAUCAAGGAACUAACACUCGAUUCAACCUAUCUUUAUGGUCCAUUCCCUGAUGUGCUAGGAGGUAUGAUUUCUCUCCAGCGGCUGGAAUUUACCAACAACGGUAAUUCAGCCACAAUGACAGUGGACUUGAAAAAUCUAUGUGAUCUAGAGAGCCUAAACCUCGAUGGGAGUCUUGCGUUUGCGGACCUAACAGACUUCGUGAUGAAACUGCCACAAUGUUCAUCCAACAAAUUGCGGUUCUUGAGCUCAAAUCACAACAAUAUGGCAGGAAUGCUGCCAGAUAGGGUGGGGCACUUCACCAGCUUGAAGUACCUUCACCUUUAUAAUAACAGCAUUACUGGAGCUAUACCAACUAGGUUAGUGAAUUGUACUAUUUUGCAUUCACUCGCUCUCGGUUUGAACCAACUAAGUGGCCAGAUACCAACAUUGCCGAGAAGCCUCAGUGAAGUGGACCUGUCCAUGAACAGCUUGUCAGGACCUUUGCCAUCAGAUUUUGGAGCUCCAUACCUUACAGUACUAAGUCUAUCCUCCAAUUACAUCACUGGUUACGUUCCUAGAUCUAUCUGUGAGUUGCAAAACCUAAUUUUCUUGGAUUUGUCCCAGAAUAGGUUUGCGGGAGAAUUUCCCAGGUGUUCUUCGAUGCCAAACUUGGCAUUCCUGCACUUAAGUAACAAUAGCUUCUCCGGGAGUUUUCCUCCAUUGCUCCAAAACUGUGCAAACUUGUUUUCCCUUGAUCUUGCAAUGAACGAGUUCGAUGGAGCACUACCAGUAUGGAUCGGAGACCUAGUGAACUUGCGGUUUCUGCAGCUAAACCAUAAAAUGUUCUAUGGGCAUAUUCCAGCUAACAUCACAAGUCUUGUACUACUUCAACUAUUCAGUUUGGCGAGCAAUAAUAUAUCAGGAUCAAUUCCGUCGUCCUUGUCUAAAUUAAUAGCUAUGACCCUGAAACAUCCGCCGAGACUUGAAUCAAUGUUGUUUAAAGGCACUCACGCGGUGGAUAUUUUGUCCGUUGUGAUGAUGAAGCAGCAAGAGCUUAAGUUCAGGGGUGAUGCAGUUAUUAACAUGGUAAGCAUUGAUUUGUCACUCAACCACUUGACCGGUGAAAUUCCAGAUGAGAUAACUUCUCUGAACGGACUGUUGAGUUUGAAUUUAUCAUGGAAUCACCUGAGCCACAAAAUCCCUGUGAAGAUUGGGGAUAUGAAAUCACUGGAAUCACUCGACUUGUCAAGGAACAAUAUCUCUGGUGAAAUCCCAACAAGCCUCUCAGAUUUGACAUAUUUAAGCUCCUUGGACUUGUCAUACAACAAUCUUGCAGGAAGAAUUCCAACAGGCCGUCAACUGGACACUCUGUAUGCAGAAGAUCCGUCAAUGUAUGAUGGCAACAGUCGCCUUUGUGGGCCUCAUCUUCAAAGGAAUUGCUCAGGCAACAGUCCACUGGAGCGUAGGAAUCAGCAGAGAAGUGAAAAUGCUUAUGACCCAGUGAUGUUCUUCUACAUUGGGCUAACGUCCGGGUUUGUGGUCGGGCUCUGGCUUGUGUUCUGUGCUCUACUGUUCAAAAGGGCGUGGCGACAUGCCUAUUUUCGCCUCUUCGACAAGCUAUGUCACAAGGUGUACGUGUUUGUUGUUGUUAUUUGGGGCCGGAUAAACACCAAGGCGACUGCAAGUUGA